RNAcentral lists this ribosomal RNA (465 nucleotides) under uncultured bacterium. Its description in RNAcentral is "partial 16S ribosomal RNA". It matches the Rfam family "Bacterial small subunit ribosomal RNA", at positions 28 to 507 of the family's 1533-position model. The record is from RNAcentral.
GACGAACGCUGGCGGCGUGCUUAACACAUGCAAGUCGAACGGAAAGGCCCCCUUGUGGGGUACUCGAGUGGCGAACGGGUGAGUAACACGUGAGUAACCUACCCUUGACUUUGGGAUAACUUCAGGAAACUGGGGCUAAUACCGGAUAGGAGCUCCUGCUGCAUGGUGGGGGUUGGAAAGUUUCGGCGGUUGGGAAUGGACUCGCGGCUUAUCAGCUUGUUGGUGGGGUAGUGGCUCACCAAGGCUUUGACGGGUAGCCGGCCUGAGAGGGUGACCGGCCACAUUGGGACUGAGAUACGGCCCAGACUCCUACGGGAGGCAGCAGUGGGGAAUAUUGCACAAUGGGCGGAAGCCUGAUGCAGCAACGCCGCGUGCGGGAUGACGGCCUUCGGGUUGUAAACCGCUUUCGCCUGUGACGAAGCGUGAGUGACGGUAAUGGGUAAAGAAGCACCGGCUAACUACGUG